AAGCCUUGCGGGAGCCCGGCAGGAGGGGGAUGUCUGCCUCGGCGGUACCCCCAGUUUGUUUUCUUAGUGGCUCUUUGAUGUCUUUUUCAGCGUGUCAGCUGCCGGGUGAACUCUUGUGUUCCCACACACACAAAGCCGGCUGAACAUCCCAGCCAACAUCAACACUCCCCCCCAAAGCAGAUUUGGCAUCAUCGUGAGCGCUGGAAUAAAUUUCUCGACUGUUUGAUAGGGUGCUGGCGUGCUCACAGACAGCUCAGCAAAACAAGACUGGGGACAUCCCUGAGUUCUCAAAAACACCGUGUCUGUACAGCAAAACGUUGCUUUAUCAGACGCAUAAAUUCCAAACGUGUGUUCCUCUAAGUCCUGAGCUUGGCAGUCUUCCUGAUGCAGACAAGAGAUGCUUUAUAAGUCAUCACAAGAGGCCUUCACAAGAAGAACAGUGAUGUUUAUUUUGGGGAAUUCUAAUUCCUCAGCUUUGGCACUCCUGCAGCUGUCUCCUCAGCAACUCCUGUGUUGUCAUCUGAUUCAACACAUGCUCAAGGAACACUUACAAAGGGAGUUGAGUCAUCUCCUAAAUCUGGACCAUCAUCCUCUGAACACAAAAACCUUCCUCUGCAGGACUUAAG
Molecule: long non-coding RNA, 626 nt
Organism: Ficedula albicollis (Collared flycatcher)
Lineage: Eukaryota; Metazoa; Chordata; Aves; Passeriformes; Muscicapidae
Exons: 3
Source: RefSeq, a predicted model, not a curated record